UGGGAUGUAGCUCAGAGGCACAGCGCCUGCCUGGAGUGCAAGAUCCUGAGUUCAAUUCCCAGUACCACAA
This 70-nucleotide transfer RNA is filed under the name Cavia porcellus (domestic guinea pig). It matches the Rfam family "tRNA". From Rfam's summary of the family: Transfer RNA (tRNA) molecules are approximately 80 nucleotides in length. Their secondary structure includes four short double-helical elements and three loops (D, anti-codon, and T loops). Lineage: Eukaryota; Metazoa; Chordata; Mammalia; Rodentia; Caviidae. The record is from Rfam by way of RNAcentral.